This 523-nucleotide ribosomal RNA is filed under the name Stygifloris sp. BYU IGCEP141. RNAcentral's name for it is "partial 28S ribosomal RNA". It matches the Rfam family "Eukaryotic large subunit ribosomal RNA", at positions 1566 to 1895 of the family's 3401-position model. The record is from RNAcentral. Lineage: Eukaryota; Metazoa; Arthropoda; Insecta; Ephemeroptera; Potamanthidae.
GGUCUUGCGGCUGAAUGCUCGCCGGCACUCGUCCUCCGAUUUCGACGGCGGCCGCACUCGCGGCGGAGAAGAGUAAAAGAGAGACGGACGCGCCCGGUAGGGAGCGCCGAACGGCGGUAGAGCAAGUGAGCGCGCGCGGCGGGGCUCGGAGACUCGGUGCCCGUGCCCGUAGUAAACACUAGAACCCCGUCCGUCGGGCGAAAGGGAAUCCGGUUCCUAUUCCGGAACCCGGUUGCGGAACCGCACUCACGAUCCUCGUAUUGACACGGUAACGUGAAAGACCCCAGAGAUGCCGUCUGGAGCCCCGGGAAGAGUUUUCUUUUCUGCCUGAGCGUUCGGGUUCCAUGGAAUCCUCUCGCAGGGAGAUAUGGAAUGGAACGCGAAGAGCACCGCAGUUGCUGCGGUGUCCGGGGAGUCCCGUCGGUCCUUGAAAAUCUGGGUGAGGGUCACGUGGAGGCGUCGCACCGGCUCGUACCCAUAUCCGCAGCAGGUCUCCAAGGUCAAGAGCCUCUAGUCGAUAGAC